GGCAGGAGAAUCACUUGAACCCGGGAAGUGGAGGUUGUACAGAGCUGAGAUUGUACUGCUGCAUCCCAGCCUCGGCAACAGAGUGAGACUCUGCCUCAAAAAAAAAAAAAAAAAAAAAGAAAAGAAAAA
Cebus imitator (Panamanian white-faced capuchin) is the source of this 129-nucleotide long non-coding RNA. RefSeq lists it as uncharacterized. The record is from RefSeq and is a predicted model, not a curated record. Lineage: Eukaryota; Metazoa; Chordata; Mammalia; Primates; Cebidae. The transcript has 2 exons.